CACGUAGGGGGCGAGCGUUGUCCGGAUUUAUUGGGCGUAAAGAGCUCGUAGGCGGCUCAGUAAGUCAGGUGUAAAAACUCCAGGCUCAACCUGGAGACGCCACCUGAUACUGCUGUGGCUAGAGUCCGGUAGGGGAGCAUGGAAUUCCUGGUGUAGCGGUGAAAUGCGCAGAUAUCAGGAGGAACACCAGUGGCGAAGGCGGUGCUCUGGGCCGGAACUGACGCUGAGGAGCGAAAGCCAGGGGAGCGAACGGG
Molecule: ribosomal RNA, 254 nt
Filed under: uncultured bacterium
Lineage: Bacteria
Description: partial 16S ribosomal RNA
Rfam family: Bacterial small subunit ribosomal RNA
Source: RNAcentral